AGAUGUGAGGGCGAUCUGGAUGCAACACCUUUUACCCCAUUGAUCUCGAGGGUUGAUUAGGCUGAUCUGGCUGGCUAGGCCAGUGUUCCCUCCCUCCCUCACCACUCCAUGUGUGUCCCUCCCAGAGUCUCUCCCAAAGCUUUGUGCUUGGUCGAAGAGGACGACCAUCCCUAUCCCCAAAAGAGGUCCUCCGUCAAAGGUAGGUGCACUCCCCUGCUAGAACCUCCAUAUGACUGCUUCCAUAACCAAUGCAGUGACCCCGCACGACCUCUGGCUCUUGUCCUAGAACUCACUAAAACCUGCCUCUCACUUGAUUCAUCUUCAUAAGGAAGACACUUCCAUUCUGU
Non-coding RNA from Dipodomys ordii (Ord's kangaroo rat), 347 nucleotides. The record is from Rfam. NCBI's taxonomy places the organism in Eukaryota, Metazoa, Chordata, Mammalia, Rodentia, Heteromyidae.